AUUUAAAGAAAGCGUAAUAGCUCACUGGUCGAGUCGGCCUGCGCGGAAGAUGUAACGGGGCUAAACCAUGCACCGAAGCUGCGGCAGCGAACGUAUCACUUAAAGCGAUUCAGCGGGUUACGAUUGACGGAGCGAAGCGACGUCAAAGCGUAUACAAAGUCGAGUCGGUUUAAGGAUACGUUCGUUGGGUAGGGGAGCGUUCUGUAAGCCUGCGAAGGUGGCCUGUGAGGGUUGCUGGAGGUAUCAGAAGUGCGAAUGCUGACAUAAGUAACGAUAAAGCGGGUGAAAAGCCCGCUCGCCGGAAGACCAAGGGUUCCUGUCCAACGUUAAUCGGGGCAGGGUGAGUCGACCCCUAAGGCGAGGCCGAAAGGCGUAGUCGAUGGGAAACGGGUUAAUAUUCCCGUACUUGGUGUUACUGCGAAGGGGGGACGGAGAAGGCUAUGUUGGCCGGGCGACGGUUGUCCCGGUUUAAGCGUGUAGGCUGGUUUUCCAGGCAAAUCCGGAAAAUCAAGGCUGAGGCGUGACGACGAGGCACUACGGUGCUGAAGCAACAAAUGCCCUGCUUCCAGGAAAAGCCUCUAAGCAUCAGGUAACACGAAAUCGUACCCCAAACCGACACAGGUGGUCAGGUAGAGAAUACCAAGGCGCUUGAGAGAACUCGGGUGAAGGAACUAGGCAAAAUGGUGCCGUAACUUCGGGAGAAGGCACGCUGACACGUAGGUGAAGUGAUUUACUCAUGGAGCUGAAGUCAGUCGAAGAUACCAGCUGGCUGCAACUGUUUAUUAAAAACACAGCACUGUGCAAACACGAAAGUGGACGUAUACGGUGUGACGCCUGCCCGGUGCCGGAAGGUUAAUUGAUGGGGUCAGCGCAAGCGAAGCUCCUGAUCGAAGCCCCGGUAAACGGCGGCCGUAACUAUAACGGUCCUAAGGUAGCGAAAUUCCUUGUCGGGUAAGUUCCGACCUGCACGAAUGGCGUAAUGAUGGCCAGGCUGUCUCCACCCGAGACUCAGUGAAAUUGAACUCGCUGUGAAGAUGCAGUGUACCCGCGGCAAGACGGAAAGACCCCGUGAACCUUUACUAUAGCUUGACACUGAACAUUGAGCCUUGAUGUGUAGGAUAGGUGGGAGGCUUUGAAGCGUGGACGCCAGUCUGCGUGGAGCCGACCUUGAAAUACCACCCUUUAAUGUUUGAUGUUCUAACGUGGACCCGUUA
RNAcentral lists this ribosomal RNA (1214 nucleotides) under Salmonella enterica. RNAcentral's name for it is "partial 23S ribosomal RNA". It matches the Rfam family "Bacterial large subunit ribosomal RNA", at positions 1121 to 2238 of the family's 2925-position model. Lineage: Bacteria; Pseudomonadati; Pseudomonadota; Gammaproteobacteria; Enterobacterales; Enterobacteriaceae. The record is from RNAcentral.